UAUACAUUAAACAUAUAGGAUGGGCAUUUAUUAAGUAUUCACUCACAUGAUCACAGGGUUCCACAAUAGGCCAUCUGCAGGCUGAGUAGCAAGAAGAGCCAGUCCGAAUUCUAAAACUGAAGAACCUGGAGCGUGAUGUUUGAGGGCAGGAAGCAU
Long non-coding RNA from Cebus imitator (Panamanian white-faced capuchin), 156 nucleotides. RefSeq lists it as uncharacterized. The record is from RefSeq and is a predicted model, not a curated record. The transcript is spliced from 3 exons. NCBI's taxonomy places the organism in Eukaryota, Metazoa, Chordata, Mammalia, Primates, Cebidae.